Molecule: RNA transcript, 1193 nt
Organism: Zea mays
Lineage: Eukaryota; Viridiplantae; Streptophyta; Magnoliopsida; Poales; Poaceae
Gene name: HLH pseudogene
Exons: 1
Source: RefSeq, marked validated
GUCGUCCUUCCUCCACCCGUCUGCCCCCUCCUCCGCGCCGCGCCUGUUCAUGGCCAGGAAGAGGACGGCGGCGCGCCAUCAGCACCAGGAACCACCGCCAAACCCUAACCCUAACCUCCGCCGCCGGGCCGCGGCCAGCGACCCGGCCUCGGACGAGCCGCCGCCGUCGUCGAAGCGCAUGCUGGCCUUUCACUUCCUCCGCGCGCUGGCCAGGAUCCACAGCACCACCCCGGCGCCGCGCCGCCCGCGCACCAUCCGCCGCGCGGCCUACUCGUCCAUGGCGCGCGCUGCCAGCCCACGCCGGGCCUGGACGCAGGCGCUGCUCCGCCAGGCUCGCGCGCGCAGGGCGGCUGCCAGGUCCUCCAGGGGAGCCGUCCUGCUGCGGAGACGCGUCGCCUCCGCCGCGGCGUCUCCUCCGCCGCCGCUGCUCCGCGCCAGCGCCGGGGAGUCCACGUCGGCGCCGACGCCGCUGGCUCCGGCGGCCGUGGCGGCCCGGGGCCCGCCUCCGAGGCAGGCCGGGGAACCGGCCAGGGCCGACGCGCUCCGCCGGCUCGUCCCCGGCGGCGCGGAGAUGGAGUACGGCAGCCUCCUCGACGAGACCGCCGACUACGUGCGCUCCCUCCGCGCGCAGGUGCAGCUCAUGCAGAGCCUCGUCGACCUCUUCUCCGCCCAAUGAUCGAUCGUCCAACAACCGAACCAGUAAUUAAUUAAUACCGCUGGUUAAUUAAUUCCUGUUCUUGCACCGUCCAUCGUUCGCCGCGCCGCCGCCUUUCGUAUCUAUAUCAUCGCAUAUCUCUUCUUCGUGCCACAUAUGAGAUGGAUGAGUGAUUAAGAUAGGAGAUUAUUGAGAAGAGAUUGUUAUUGCUGGUACAUAUAUAUAUUUAGCUGGUAAGAUAAGAUUAUUAGUAGGUGUAUGUAUAGGUUGGGAACAUACAUGCAUGGAAGAUGGUACCACACACACCAAGCAGCAUUGGAGGGAGAGGAGAUUAUUAUUGAGGUAAUUAAUUGUAACAUAUAUAGAGAGAGAAUUGAAGCAUGGAGCCACAUACAUACAUACAUAAGCUAUUAGUGCAGUGCUUGCUGUUGGGUCAGAUGAUUGGGUAUGCAUAUAUAUUUGUAAAAAAUUGUGGAGCCAUGUCAUGUAUCUUUUGUACCUAGCUACUAGCUACACAUGUAGGUAGCUGUGUGAUACA